CCCUUAGAUGUCCGGGGCCGCACGCGCGCUACACUGAAGGAAUCAGCGUGGCUUUCUCCCUGACCCGAAAGGGUUGGGAAACCCGUUGAAUCUCCUUCGUGAUAGGGAUUGGGGCUUGAAAUUGUUCCCCAUGAACGAGGAAUUCCCAGUAAGCGCGAGUCAUAAGCUCGCGUUGAUUACGUCCCUGCCCUUUGUACACACCGCCCGUCGCUACUACCGAUUGAAUGUUCCGGUGAGCUCUUCGGACUGCGCGGUCUGCAGUUUCUGCGUUCCGUGCGGAAAGUUGCGCAAACCUUAACAUUUAGAGGAAGGAGAAGUCGUAACA
RNAcentral lists this ribosomal RNA (325 nucleotides) under uncultured eukaryote. RNAcentral's name for it is "partial 18S ribosomal RNA". It matches the Rfam family "Eukaryotic small subunit ribosomal RNA", at positions 1470 to 1796 of the family's 1831-position model. The record is from RNAcentral.